UACGUAGGGGGCAAGCGUUGUCCGGAUUUAUUGGGCGUAAAGAGCGUGUAGGCGGCCUGAAAGGUCAGCUGUGAAAACUCGAGGCUCAACCUCGAGACGUCGGUUGAAACCAUCUGGCUAGAGUCCGGAAGAGGAGAGUGGAAUUCCCGGUGUAGCGGUGAAAUGCGCAGAUAUCGGGAAGAACACCCGUGGCGAAGGCGGCUCUCUGGACCGAC
This 215-nucleotide ribosomal RNA is filed under the name uncultured bacterium. RNAcentral's name for it is "partial 16S ribosomal RNA". It matches the Rfam family "Bacterial small subunit ribosomal RNA", at positions 524 to 738 of the family's 1533-position model. The record is from RNAcentral.